GUCUGGUUUAGUCCUGGUGCAGUCCUGGUUGAGUCCUGAUUGAGUCCAGGGUUAGUCCUGGUGCAGUUCUGGUUUAGUCCUGGUUUAGUCCCAGUUUUGUCCUGGUGCCCUCUGGUUGAGUCAUGGUUUAGUUCUGUUUUAGUCCUAGUUUAGUCCUGGUGUACUCCUGUUUUAAUCCUGGUUUAGUCCCAGUUAGCCCUGGCGGUCCCUGGUUUAGUUCUGGUUUAGACCUGGUUAAGUCCUGGUUUAGUAUCCAAAAGUAGACAUCCUCACAUCACUUUAUGACUGAUGAGUAGUAGCAGAGGGCAGUGUACUUUCUAACAUGUGUUCCAGAGUAAAAAGAAGGAUUAGUCUGUGUGCUUUCUCUUUAAGUGUUUCCUGCUCUGUAAACGUUUGUCGGGAUUGACAGAUUUGGGGGAGAAUCUCACACAAACAACAGCGGCAAGCGGUACAGACUGGCUUUGACAAGAUUACACUAGUUUGAAGUUUUGAACUACAUUUAAGAUCAUUUUUGACUGGGCAAUUUUGAACCCAUCAUUUUGUAGUUUUUUUUUAAAGCAGAUACCAAUUUCCAGUAUUUGUCUGUUACUGUGGCCAAUAACUAAUAUUUAUGUUAAAGGUACAGUAGAGGUGUCGCCUCAUCUGUAUGAUUCCAUGAAAAAACGUGAAUAACACGUAGUCACACAGGGACUGGGGCAAAACUGGUGCCAAAUAUCUGUUAUAUUGUCAGUAUCGGACCUGUACCGAUAUCUGGGAAACCCCCUGGUAUAAUAUUGGAAACAAUAUGUUGCCCAAAGUUUUCGUUUCUUAGAUACCGUAUUUUGUGCACUAUAGAUUAUAAGGCGCACUGUCAUUGAAUGGUUUAUUUUCAAACUUUUUUCACAUAUAAACCGCACCGGACUAUAAGGCGCAUUAAAUGAAACACAACAGUUAGAUAAGUCAGUCAAACUUUAUUUAACGCGUUCACAAUAACUCUCAACUUUGUUCAAUUGUAACGCAUAAAAAAAUCCUGUCUGAGACGCUAAAUUGUUGGUGUAUUCACAAUAAGUCAUCAUUGUUCAAACAGUUGGGCGAUUACGACAUCCAGCACGCCCACAUCCCUCUCGUCAUUAUCCGAGUCAGUGUGGUUUCUGUUCCCUGGCAGUUCAGUGAUGAUUCCGGUCUUUCCUAGCUUUUCCGGUGAAAGCUCGGGCCACAGUUGAUACUGAUUCUUAGCCCAGGCGUACACAAUCCGUUGGCUGUAAGUCGCUCUGCGUUGUCUCCCUGUCUUGAUGAAUGGGUGUUCUCCUUCUCUCAUCCACUGCUUCCACGCAGCUCACACUUUAACUUUAUAACAGCCUUGAGUUUAAAGUCGGCGUUGUGAGCGUGUCUCUUGACAGGUGCAUUUUGAUAUUAAAAGAAAUCACAGUAUGUAUUACUCCGUGAUGCUCCUGACUACAAUAGCCGUAAUGUUGCAAGUGGUGCAGCUUUAUAGUUUACUAAAGUCGUACUAAGACACCCCAAUAAAUUCAUAUAUAAGGCUCUCUGGAUUAUAAGGUGCAGAGUUGGUUUUUUUUUUAAUGAAAUUAAAGGCUUUUAAGUGUGCCCUAUAGUGCGAAAAAUACGGUAAUCUUACAUUUCCUCUAUACUGUACAACAUUGAUUGAUUGUCGUUAACCAAACAAUCAGUCAAUUAACAACCAUUUUGUAACACCAUUUUUGAUUUGUAAUUAAAAAAUUGCUUUAAGACUACAGGAUAUUCUAUUUUUAUUUUAGUAAUCUUUUAGAAAAGCUGGAAAAUGUUACAUUUUAGCUUGUCUCUUGCUACCUUUUUUGCUACUUACUUAGAAUUUAUUAUUACCAUUUAUAUUUUUUCUCUUUGUUAUUAUAUUAUAUUAUAUUAUAUUAUAUUACGAUGUGUGAGCUACUGUGUCCAAAUAAUUUCCACUGUGGAUCCAUAAAGUUUGUACAAGUCUAAGUCUAAGAUAGCAUUUUGUUUUUCCUCUACUCUGUACAACAUAUUGAUUGAUCGUUGUUGUGUUUUUAACCAAUCAAUCAACCAAUUACCAGCCAUUAUGUAAAACAGUUUGACAAUCCAGUUCCCCUAACUGUGACAAACGUGCUCUCAUCUUUCUUCCUGUGUUUUUCUAUGGUGAUGCGCUCUGCUGUUGUCGCUGUGGUGGACUUCCUCUUCUCCUCUUCAGUUUGUAAGUACACCUCUCCUCCAUCACUCUCUCCUCUCCAGGGCUGUGUCAGGGCUUUGUACCCAGCUGCCUCCCCUCACGGCUGGGGCGCGUGGCGGGACAAGGGGCCCUCUGAUGGAUGGGACAGGGCAGGACCGAGGGGGGUACAGACUGAAAUGAGACGUAUCCUGUCCUGUAUAUCGUCCAUCACCCGCCUGCCAAUCAAAAUGUCCCUGUGGCUAUCUGUCUUAUGGGUGACAGGAUCUGCUCCUGCCAGGCCUGUAACAACAAAUACUCAAACUGAUACAUAGCUAUAAAAAAUAUCAUGAUUAAAGGCCCUGAAUAAGAUUUGUUCCAUGUAUUUGAGGAAAAUUAGUCUGAUAUGUCGUAAAAGCUGCUCUCGAGGUCAAAAUAAGUCUGCUUCGUGUUGUUUGGAUCUGAUUAUAAAGCUUUUUAUUGUCCAAGAAUCAGGAAGUGCAGCAUGCUAGUUGUUGUUAGAAUUAUCGUGACGGCAAAACUCUGCUCUGGUCUCUGAGAGUUGUGAAAAGCACUAGUAAACUUUAUUAAACUCAUUGUGGUGAAUAAUUAGAAUACUUUUGAGGAAUAACUUUGAACCACUGCAAACUGUUUAAAAUGAUUUUGUUCUGUUUUUCAUGUAUUUAAGACAAUAAAAUGUACAGUACCUUUAACGAUACAAAAAAUUAAGAAAAAAAAUAAAAAAUAUUCAUUUUACAUCAAAAUGAUGCAAGCAAUAAGGGUUAAAUCACUAUAUACAGUAUAUUGUUCCAACUUUCAUUCAUAAAACAAGAAGUCGGUAUAGAAAUUAUCCUGCAGAGUGAAAUACCCAAUCCAAAGUUGUGAGUUAAAGCAGUACAUUUUUCUGGUAGAAGGUACAGCCACCUGCUUGACUUUCCUUAUAAUGUCCCACAGUGGUGACAGGCCAAGUGCGAUAUGAUUUAUUUAAUUUUUGUUGAGGAAAACUGCCUUUUUCUCUCAUGUUCGUUAGUUCGUUAGUUCCUAAAAAAACACACUUAAAACAGAAAUAAACCCCAGAUAAAUUACAUGGCCAUACCAGCUUCAAACCAGCCUGAUCUUUUCAGAUUUCAGAAACUAAGCAGGGCCAGGCCUGUGUCCUUAGGUGAGGCACUUCACCCACAUGGCCUAGUAUGAAGGUGGUGUGCGUUAGUGUUGGUGGUGGUCGGAGAUGGUGCAGAUUGGCAGCCGUGCUUCCAUAAAUCUGCAAUAGUAGCUUACUGCCAAUGAGUAUGGAGUGAAUAAAUAAUGCUCUGUAAAGUGUCUUUGUGACAUAUGUCUGUGAAAAGUGCUAUUUAAAUAAAAACUUACUUACUUACUUACUUACUCCAAUAUUAGAAAGCCAUACAUGUACAAGGAGUCUGUGCUGACAUUCCCAAGCAGAGACUCAAUGUUUACGCCUAUACUAUGACUUUUAUACACAAACUAUUGUCCAACUACUGUCCAAUCACACUGCACACGGGCUGUUAUCUGGCUAACAAAUCAUGACAUCAUCCCUAUCAGUAGUUCUUGUCCUAUUUAGUUAGUUUGCUAUUAGAUAGAUUACAAUUUUAUGCAUUUGUCUUGACAUAUAUCUGUGAGUCUCAGAGCUGUGAUCAGAGCCCUUAUCUUCACAUGACCUCGGUACAAUAAUGAACUAUAGAAGUGGUUAUACAGAAUAGCUCAGCCUACUUAUUUAUCUUAACGUUUUCAAUAUUUUUUGUUGAUUAAAUGCAUAUAAAAUGACAACUUGUUGACUAAAACUAGACUAGAGCUGGUAGAAAUAUUAUAAACUUUCUUACAAUACAAAAUUACAGCGUUGUUGUAUCAAAAUGAACAUUGUACAUUGUUGAACAGAGUAGUAUUGACCUUUGCCCUGCCACUCGAAAAUACCUUUGUUCGCUUUGUUACAGUUCAUUGUACAACAGACUUUAACCUGUCCUUCGUCUUGAUUUUAGCCCGUAGUCCUUUUACACUGUUACGGCAUCACAUGAACAGAGCCUAUUCUUUUCUAACGCAGGUGCCCGUCCAGUCUCCCAUCCAUCUCCUGACUGACAGACACACAAAAGAGCAGAGCAGAGCGGAGCCAGACUGACAGCACCUUUAAUGACAAACGUACAGUCCGUCUACUACUUCCUCUCUCUCUCUCUGUCUCUGUCUUUCUCCCUCCAGCACAAAACCACAACACCGUCCUUCAUGUUAGAGGCCGUUAGACAAGCUGGUCCCUGCUCCGUAGUGAGUGGUGUCGUGACCUCUCAACAGACACUCAAAACGCUCGGGUGUGAGUACAGAGUUGGCUCUGAGAACUGUUUAAAAGGACUUGGAUUGUAUUGUCAUUAUUUUAUUAAUCUUUAAAAUUAGCAUUGAUAUAAAAAGUCCCAUCUUUAUAAAGUGUGUUUAACAGCACAAAUCAUCUCAUCUGUUGUUGUUUCAGCUAAAAUUAGGCAAAGUUUAUUAAUCCAAUCCAACUUUGAGCUUUAUUUGUAUAGCACAUUUUACAAACAAAACAGUUUCCAAAGUGCUUCACAUAGCUAUGCAACAUUUUACUUUAAAAAGAGAAAAAAAAAAUCUGCAAAAUUAUGUUUAAUAAAGACAGAAAAAUAAAUAAAAUAAUAAUAAUAAAAUCAAUGAACAAAAAUAAUAAAAUCAAUACAUAAAAGCAGUACAAAAAAAAAAAAGAUAAAAACUAUAAAUAAAUAAAUAAAUUAAUUAAUUAAUUAAUAAAAUAAAAGACACAGAGGACCACACAACUCAAGCUGUAUUAAAAGCCAGAGAAUAAAAGUGGGUCUUAAGACGAGACUUAAAACUCUCCACUGUGGGGGCUGUUCGGACGUGGGGGGGCAGAGCGUUCCAGAGUUUGGGGCCGGCGACAAAGACGGCCCUGUCCCCCCUGGUUUUAAGUCUUGUUUUGGGGACCAGAAGCUGGAGCUGGCCCUCGGACCUCAAAGUGCGUGCGGGAGUAUAAAUUUGGAUGAGGUCUGAGAUGUAUUGUGGGGCCAGUCCAUUCAAAGCUUUAAAAACAAAUAAUAAAAUCUUAAAAUCAAUUCUAAAAUUAACAGGAAGCCAGUGCAGCGAUGCAAGAAUUGAGGUAAUGUGAUCACGCUUUUUUGUUUUCUGUUAAAAGACGCGCAGCUGAGUUCUGGACUAACUGCGAGCGAUGAAGUGCGUAUUAAAACAAAGAUCAGAUUAAAUUCUACCUUGAGUAACAGAGCUUCAGACAGAGAAGAGCCUACAGUUAGCAUCAUACGCCCAGAGAAUGUUGAUGCCUUCAGCUGAAAGUCUGUUUUACUUAUCAGGUAGGAGAAUGAUGCGGGGGCCUGUCCACAGAUAAAAUAGGAGUCGCUAGGGAGAAAAAAGGUUGAGAACCAGUGAAAUAGACAAUCGAUGAAUUCUGUGUGUGUAUUCUUCCACUCACAGUAGAGACUAAAGAGAAUAGUGCUUAUUGAGUCCAUAUGUUCCACCUGCUGAUGGCUCAUAAUUGCUCCACUUAAACUGUGACAGGUUCAACACUGAAGAUCACAGGAGCAGCCUUUAAUGGGCAGGUGGCUGUGGUUAGCUGCCGUGAGAUGCUGUUUUACAAACUUUAUUUAAAUGAUCCGGCCCCAUUUUUGUGUCUUGUGUCUGUGUUGUCCCCGGGUUUGGCCUGACAGGAGCUGACAGGGGCAGAGAUGUCGGGUGGGGCAGGGUCACGUACACAUCAUCCAUCUUCAGGCCUGACAGGUGCGGGGGUUUGACAGGUGCGGGGGCUGUCACAGUGGACACAGGGAGGUGUUGUUGUGUAAUUAGGAACGUGUUAAAAGCAGGAAACACUGAGCUCUGUGCAGCAGGACGCUCCCCUCUGAGACACAUGUGUAUGAGACACUAGUGAGUGAGAGACACAUGUAUGAGACACAUUUUGGUCAUCAAAAUGUGCAAAGUUUCCAUUCAUAAAUUCUAAAAGAAAGUUUUACCUUUACUGUCUAAAACUCUGAAUGGACCACUGAAUCCUUCUAAACUGUGUUUUCAUUUGAAGAAUUGCACUAAAUGGCAUAGUAUAUGUAUAUAUGUAUAUACACAGUGAAGUGGCUCAGUUUCAGAGCUUUUGUGAAGGUGGGAGGAACAAUCCCAGCUCCAAUGACGGUAUACUCUAAUACUCUAAUACUCAUACUCAUAAUAAUGCAUUAUAGACUACAUAGAGUUUUACAGUUUGGUGCAUUAUUCCUUCACUCCACACUUGGUUAGGCUUCUAUUGUAGCCACAGCUGGCCUGGGGCAAACAGAUGGAAGUGAGACUGCCAAUCUGCCCAAUUUGCCCCUCUGACCACUACCAGCACUGCCACUGCUGUCCAAAUACACCUCCUGGUACUCUCAAACUUUAUAUCACUUAAUCCUGUGUAUGCCUGUUUGUAUGUCCUGUUCUGUCUAUGUAUAUCUGUUUGUGGGCAUACACAAGUACAACAGAUGAAAACGAGUCUUGGGUUAUAUACUUAAUACUGCUAUGGUGUGUGUUUCCAGACAUUAUAUACUUAAUACUUGUAUGGUGUGUGUUUCCAGACAUUAUAUACUUAAUACUUGUAUGGUGUGUGUUUCCAGACGGCGCUGCACUGGGCGGCCAAACACGGCAACAAAGACAUGGCCACUUUAGUGGCUGAAGCCGGAGCAGACGUCAACACAAAAUCACAUGUAAGUACCAGGAUGUUGGGCCCUUGGGUGCUCGUCUCCCUCGGUGACGUAAUGAACCUCCAGCUGUGCAAAUGUAUUACAGCAGCUCGUGUUUGAGGCUCUGCUAAUAAAUCAUGUCGUGUCAUCUUAAUUGUUUCCCAAAACAGAGCGUCGCCAUUGAAAACGAAAGCAAUUUUCACUGAAUUGGCCGAGCAAUUAUGUUUUUAAUCAUUAUCUGGUGUUGUCUUAACCUUUACUAAUUUGUAUCUUUUUUUCACACUCAUGUUUUGAUUGGCUGUUCCUGCGCCUGGGAAACUAAAGGGGGGAUACACGCCUUUGCACAUCGCAGCCUUACAUGGACAUCGCCAUAUCCUAGACCUGCUCGUGGGGACUUAUGGAGCUAAAGAAAACCUGAGGGACUACAGCGGCCAUCUCGCUUUCCACUAUCUCAACAUCAAGGAACCCGAAGUGUCGGAGGAGGAAUGUGACAUACAGUACGCAGUGACCCAGGCCCGCGAGCGCCACAGGAACAGGAAGCUGGCGUCUCUGUUUUCCUCCAAGAAGAAGUGGGGAUCUGCUGAAGAGUUAGCCCCGAUCGAAGAGGAGCGGACUGGGAUGCAGCAGCUGCCUCUGCCCCCCUUCAGGCCGCGGAAGUUCUCACGCUGAGACUGAACUUCAUGUAAAUACAAGAACAUUGUUUUGAUAGGGAAAAAUGGAAGUGUUAAAAGCUGAAGCAUUAAAGCACUAAACGGAAUUACAACACACAAGAACGCAACUCGAAACUGCUCCAUCACCAAAAUCAUUGUGGCUUUCCUCAGAAGAAUUUCUGUUUGAAAAAUAUUUUACAAUGGGUUUCAUUUGUUACCUGACCUCAAACAUGAUUAUAUAAUAGUUAAGAUAUUUUUGAAGCUUCCCAUUGGCUUGCCUGGCAAAUCCAAAAUGUACUUUCUCUGUAUUUUUUAUACUGAGGGAUCAGUCUGGUCCCCACUCCCUCUGUCACAUCUCGAAUCGUCCAAUCAGAUUUGUUUUUUUCAGUGACACAUAGGGAUGGGUAUUUGAUUAAAUCUUCUUAAUUGAUCAUUAAUUGAGAAUUAACGAUUGAUUUUGAUUAAUCAUUGAAAUUUUUUAUAUAAAAAAUAUCAUUUUAUUAUUAUUAUUAAUCUGCAUAAAUAAAUACAACUUUAAAACAUAUAAACCAUUACUACUAGAGUCACAUCAGCAUUUGAUAAUAUAAUUCAGCUUUGUGCACAUUUGUUUAUGUUUUACAGAAACUAAACUUAAAACCGCAUGGCUCAUUUGCAUAAACUGCAAGCCUGAAAAAAAAACAGCUCACUCCUUGUGCCCUGAUGCAGUUCAGCUUCUGUUUGACUAUAGAGGAUGUUGAUGAUGCUGGUGGUGAGUCUGUUCCGUGUGUAUCACAGAUUGGAGAUGGUUCAUGUUAAAAAUUUCAGAGAUCAUACAUGUGCAGGUUGUACGAGUGCAGAUUGUACAUGUGCUGAACAGAACAAACUGGAAUACUCAAAAAACUCGAUCAUACCCGGGACACUGAUGUGCAGUAAACACACUCACUGAGUGGUACAGUGUCUCCAAGGAGCCAGAGCCCAAACGUGGAACUGUGAGGCACAACUCCAGUGUUUGUUUCACACACAGCCUUGUCUCCUUACACUACGCAUAGCAACCUACAUUCAGUUUGUCGAUUAAAAAUGAACAUGACUGGCGAAAUUCUUAAUGAUCAAUUAUUGAUUAGUUGACUAAACAUGCCCAUCCCUAGUGACACAUUUGUUUAUUUCAGUGACACAUUUAUUUAUUAUUAUUAUGAUACAGAUCGUUUCCCUCACCUCAGAUUAACAGACCUGAUUUGACGAUUCUGCAGAAAUUUGCGACUUUUUUCAGUCCCAUGUGAUAUUUUUUCUCUGAUCCUCCAUCUAAACUCAGGGGCAUUCAACAGAGACCAGACUCACAUCUUCAUAAAAUAUUGAGUUAGUUUGUGUAUUCUGGAUCUCAGGCAAUGCCACUGGAGCAGAUCAUUGUUAAAGGGAAUGACAUUUUGACAAAACUGGCUGCAAUGUUUGAUUUAAAAAAAGUUCCGUCAUUGUUUGAAUUUGAAGAGAUCAGUAUUCUCAAUGUGUACAUUUUUGUUUUCCAUUAACGUGAAUAGUGGACUGUUUACUUCCACUGUUACUUUCAGGAGCAUGUAAGAUCAGCUUUACUCUGCAUACUCUGCUUUUAUUAUUGAAAUUUACUUUAAUGGGCUAGUUAGUAUGACUUGCUUUUGAUAUACGUUUUGAUUGUUUCUCUUUAUAAAUUAUCUAAAAAAUAUAUAGGCCUACUGUUCUUAUGUCAAAGGCAAAAUUCUUAUCUCAGACCUAUACUCUGACUUCAAAUCACAGUCAAAUAAAAAAUAAAUCCACCUAAUGAGUCAAAACUACUCAAACCAAUGUAUUCUGAAUUCAAAUAAUUUAAACUUUGUUGUGUAUAUUGAAUUCCUUUUAAAGAUUUUAAAGCCAUGCCAUGAUGUUACUGUUUUAAUCUGUAUUAUUAUUAUUAUUUUGAAAUCAAUUAUAAGCUUAUUGUACGAGGUAUGAUAACAAGUUUGAAAUGCAUUCCUUUGUUUUGACCGUAAUGUCUUUUGUCAUUUUGUUAUACAUUGCAAAAACAAUAUACAGUAUCUACAUAAGUUAAAAUGAUUUCACAAUAAUUUUCUUGUUUCUUUUCAAUGUGUUUUUGUCAUCUUUUGUUGUUUAAAGGUCCAAUAUCACACAAAAUUAACUCUAAUGUGAGCUUUAAAUCAUGUUUUAAUGUUGUUACCUCAUCAAAAACAGACCUGGAGUUAUGUUUUGUUUCAUUCACACAUGUUUGAGUAAUCCUGGUCCACUAAAUUUUUUCAGUUUGAGAGAAGAACUCAGGAAACUAAAUUUGAAAUACCGUAUUUUCCACACCAUAGGACGCGCUGUUAAGCCUCCAGCCCCUCUUAAGUGCCCCACAAUCCAGAGCGCCCUAUACACGAAUCCACUCGGGUGUCCCAGCACGACUUCAGUAAACUACAAAGCCACAAAACCUACAGCGCACGCAAACACGCACAGAGCAGACAGCGACCGCACAGCGAAAAAACACCCGCCACACUCAUCACUCCACGCAGACGAGGAAUGGAACAGAAGAACGAACUGAAAAAGCGAGUGCAAUGUGCCACUUCUAGCCACAACUGAACAACUGAGUCACUGCGAACACGCCGACAAUCCGUUGGUCCCAGACAGCACCCUCCCUACACGCCACAACUGAACAAAGCCCAGAGUCACCGUGAACGCCACAAACAAAGUCCCACUGGCCCAUCCAACUGUUGUGUUUCGUUUAAUGCGCCUUGAAAAAAGUUUGAAAAUAGACCAUUCAAUGACAGUGCUCCUUAUAAUCCAGAGCGCCUAAUAGUGCGGAAAAUAUGGUAUUUGUGUGUUAAACACGUGUGAAUGAAACAAAACACAACUCCAGGUGUGUUUGUGGUGAGGAAACAUUAUAACAUAGGUCAGAAAAUAGCAUAAUAUGGGAGCUUCACUGCAAAAAUCAAUAUCUAAGUAAGUUAAAAUGACUUAAAUUAAGAAUGUUUUACUUUAUUUGAGUCGAUUCAACUUGAAAAGUAAAAUGAUCUACCAAUGGAAUAAGUGUGUUUUCCUUAAUUCAAGCAACAUUUGAUUUUGUUUCUUAUUUUAAGUGCAAAAAGUUGUGUUCUUUCUUAUUUUAAGUGCAGCAAGAUGUAGUUUCAUAUUUUAAAACAAAAAGUCUUGUUCCAUUGGCAGAUUAUUUUAUUUGUUGAUUUAAAUUUACUCAAAUCAUUGUCAAACUUUGUUAAUCCAAAUGAUUUUAACUUGUCUAGAUUUUUGUUUUUGCAGUGUUUAAAGUCAUUUUGGUGGAGAUGUUUCCAUGGAGAUGUUAUCGAUUGCUUGGAAUGUUCCACAGUAUGACAUUAAACUUCAGUACCUCCACAGAGACCAACGAUUGACACCACCAGGCCAAAUUACUGGUCAGAUCUGUGGAGAUGUAAACCCCCACUCCCACCAACCAAAUACUUGUCAAAACUAUUCAAAUUAAAAUAAGUUCUCAGUGCAACUUUUACAGUGUAUGCCGGUUGUUUUAUUGCCCUCGUUUGAAAACCGUGUUGUUUUAAAUCUGUUACAAGUACUUUUACGACUUCUCUGCAGAUUUCUGUUGUGAUUUCACUCUUGCGUCAUUGACUUUUGGCUUUUGUCCCCUGAUUUAUGGCCCCUGUUGUUCGUCUCAGCUAAUUGGGCUCAUUGCAUUUGACCCGCCUUGAUAUUGACGCCGUUACAGAUCUUUUCAGGUUUUUUAUUGUGGUAAUUUCACUGAAAGAAAAUGUAAUCUCUUGUUUACAUCGCUAUAAGAUUGUAAAAGAAACACUUGCCUUAUCAACUAUUUGCACAGUAUUUAUUUAAUGAAUAUAUUUUGAUAAUAAAAUGCAUUGUAAACUUGUAA
Molecule: long non-coding RNA, 11295 nt
Organism: Boleophthalmus pectinirostris (great blue-spotted mudskipper)
Lineage: Eukaryota; Metazoa; Chordata; Actinopteri; Gobiiformes; Gobiidae
Exons: 5
Source: RefSeq, a predicted model, not a curated record